Molecule: long non-coding RNA, 683 nt
Filed under: Vulpes vulpes (red fox)
Lineage: Eukaryota; Metazoa; Chordata; Mammalia; Carnivora; Canidae
Description: lncRNA (ENSVVUG00000029232.1)
Source: RNAcentral
CUAAGGCCUCAAAUGAGAGGCAAAUGCUUACAAUUGAAUCUCAGCUUCUGGAUUAAUCUCUUGACUUUCCUAGAAUCCAGACUUUCCAGCCCUGGCUCAGGGAAGCACCAUUCAAUGAAUGCUGAAAGGAGAAAUGCUUUAUAAUUCCAAACCAGCACUGGAAACAUCUUAGAAUACGUGUUCUUUCCCCAGGCCUUCAAAUUACUAAGUCGUUCUCAUCUAUCACUUUGUGACACAGCUGGGUCUCUCCUGGAACGAAUUCCCACAGACAAACUCUUCACCAGACCAUCAACUCAGAAGGGCAAAACGAGGAGCUUAUUGUGAAGAGUUUGGGCCAAACCACCCAGAGCUUCCUGUGCCAGAGAGGCUCGAUAAAAUCACUCAGCAAAUGGAAAAAUAUUUAUUUUGUGCUUAUUCUAAGAAAUGUGAUCCAUCAAAAUGAGCUGUCAAGUCCUUUCACUUCCAAGGACAGUGUCCACACAGUCCAGGCUGCCUCUGGAGCUGGAAUCAAAUCCAAGUUAGAGGCAAGUGAGGGCCAUACAGAUGUCUUCAAGGGUAUGCCGUAGCACGGACUUAAGGCACCAUCUGCAGACUCAGACUGCCUGGGUUUCAGCCCAACUCUCUCAUCCCUUAGCUGUGAAAAUUGGGCAAGUUGCUUAACCAUCCCUUAAUGCCAUUUUCCC